GACGAACGCUGGCGGCGUGCUUAACACAUGCAAGUCGAACGGACAGACAGAGAGCUUGCUCUCUUGAAGUUAGUGGCGAACGGGUGAGUAACGCGUAAUCAACCUGCCCUUCAGAGGGGGAUAACAACGGGAAACCGUUGCUAAUACCGCGUACGAUUCAUGAACGGCAUCGUUUAUGAAUGAAAGGUGGCCUCUAUGUAUAAGCUAUCGCUGAAGGAGGGGAUUGCGUCUGAUUAGCUAGUUGGAGGGGUAACGGCCCACCAAGGCAAUGAUCAGUAGCCGGUCUGAGAGGAUGAACGGCCACAUUGGGACUGAGACACGGCCCAAACUUCUACGGGAGGCAGCAGUGGGGAAUCUUCCGCAAUGGACGAAAGUCUGACGGAGCAACGCUGCGUGAGUGAUGAAGGUCUUCGGAUUGUAAAGCUCUGUUAAUCGGGACGAAAGAGUUCUGCGUGAAUAAUGCAGAAAAGUGACGGUACCGGAAUAGAAAGCCACGGCUAACUACGUGCCAGCCGCCGCGGUAA
This 524-nucleotide ribosomal RNA is filed under the name uncultured bacterium. Its description in RNAcentral is "partial 16S ribosomal RNA". It matches the Rfam family "Bacterial small subunit ribosomal RNA", at positions 28 to 523 of the family's 1533-position model. The record is from RNAcentral.